UCGUGCCGUGGCUCGGACAUGCCGGGCUGGCGCUGUCGAUCAGCGCGGGCGCCACCAUCAAUGCGCUGCUGCUGUGCUUCGGCCUGCGCCGGCGCGGCC
Molecule: transfer RNA, 99 nt
Filed under: compost metagenome
Description: tRNA-Ser
Source: RNAcentral